This 80-nucleotide long non-coding RNA is filed under the name Oryctolagus cuniculus (rabbit). Its description in RNAcentral is "lncRNA (ENSOCUG00000030225.1)". Lineage: Eukaryota; Metazoa; Chordata; Mammalia; Lagomorpha; Leporidae. The record is from RNAcentral.
UCUGUGGGUUGCGCUGGCCCUGAGACAUAGGUGCAAGGCCUCUUCACCCAGGAAGGGAGCUCUCCAACUGGGAAUGUGAG